This is a non-coding RNA of Drosophila melanogaster (fruit fly), 1024 nucleotides long. Lineage: Eukaryota; Metazoa; Arthropoda; Insecta; Diptera; Drosophilidae. The record is from Ensembl.
GUUUUAGAUGCAUGAAUUCUUAGUUAAGAUUUUUGUGAUAGAUUUGAAUAAAUUCAUAUCAGAACUUGACACCCAGCACUCACAGAGCAUCUUGAAUUCGACGAUGGCAGCUUUUCCGCAUUUCCCAUGGCCGCGUUAUGUGAGAAAGUAGCCGGCCAACGCCAACAGAUGGGCAAUAAAAUGGCCAGGCCCACAAGGUGCAUCUGGGAGGACGGGAUGGCAGGAGGACAUGACUUCAACCUGCCUGAACUUCAAAGUGGGGCGAUGUAGCCACCAGGCAGCAGGCACCUGCACUGGGUUAGCUCCCUUGCCUCCAAGCCGGCCGUGGCAUAGCAAAUCAUUUUGAAAUGAAUCAUAUAUCUCGGACCAUGACACGAAGACCCAGAGAUGAACUUGCGCCGGGGUGCUGGAAUGGGGCGUUGACUGCGUGCCGACAAUAAAACUGUGAAGAUGUAUAAAUCAAAGCGCUAGCGAUUAGCCGGGGGAAAAUCGUAUAAAAUAUGUUUUCAAUUUUCCCGCUGCCACACUGGAAUUGGAAUCCAAUUUAAUAGAUGGAUUGUCUCGCCUUUCCACCAAGCCUGCGCUGAACUUGACCCAAUGAUAUUUAGUUAGCCAGGCGACGACUCGGGCCAAGACAAAGGCAAUGUCGGCCAGGAAAGUGGCAAGUCAAAGGCAGUGGCAGUGGCAUCUGCAUUAUGGCAAUGCGGAGUAUUGUGUUGCCUCUUUCCCAUGUUGCCAGUUAGCCAGGUUGCCUGUUGCCGCUUGCCAGUUGCCAGUUGCCAGUUUGCCCAUUCGAGCUGACAAAUGACUAAGGUCGCCGCGCGUUUGCAGCACAAUUGGCCCGAUGGGGCGGUUUCUGUUUGGACGGGGCGGUAAGAAGGUCGUCGGAUCGUUGCAGUCGUCUUAGCCAGUUCCAACUCUGAUGCAUCACACACCGCUCGGCAGCUGCGGUUGCGCCGGACGCCAUCGAACACUUGAAAAUAAAUGAGAAUAAUAUUUAAAAAAUGAACUACUUUCAAGCACU